RNAcentral lists this long non-coding RNA (429 nucleotides) under Selaginella moellendorffii. RNAcentral describes it as "long non-coding RNA (SMOE_LNC001389)". Lineage: Eukaryota; Viridiplantae; Streptophyta; Lycopodiopsida; Selaginellales; Selaginellaceae. The record is from RNAcentral.
AGCUUCUUCCGAUCCAGCUUCCACUUUUGUAGCCUGCUCCAACGGGUUGAUAUCAGCUUCGGGAGUUUGAACUGGCGCUCCGAUUGUUGUAAGUUCUUCUGGGGCUAUAGGUUGUUCGUCAACUUUUGCCUCCUCAGGGUCAGCGGGCGUUGCUUCUUUUUCCUUCGCUGGAACAUCUUCUUCUGCUGUUGGAUUCUCCACCUCGGUCGGUUUUGGUUCUUCCUCCACAGGUGCGUUUACUUCCUCCGUUGACUUGUCAACUGGCGUUGUUUGAUCCACACUUUGUUCUGGUGUACUCUCUGCUGGUGCUUGCAUAAGAUCGGCUGCUUUCUCGGCCUCGUCUGGCGUUGCUUCCUCGACUGGAUUCUCAUCAGCUUGUCUUGGCUCUACGGCCGGCGAUAUUUCACUGUCUUCCAGCGUGGUUUCAAU